UUCUGGAGUUCCCUUUGUGGAGUUUUCUUCUGUGAGCCUAGAUCUUUGGAAAUCGCAAUCAGAACAGCAGAACUAGCAUAAACCUGUCUCAGUGGCUUGACGUUAAUGCCUGAAGGGAAGUGAGAUGCACAUGCAUGUGCAUGUGGAACUGGUGGCAGUGAAUACAUGUUGGACAUGAGAGAAUUCAAGAAGCAUUCUUGACAAGUAGAUGCAACCUUGGACAUAAAGAAGAUUCUGGUGCUGACAUAAGGUCUUGUGUCAUGAAACAAAAAAGUUCUAGCAAAUUAUAGCAAGCUAAGAGAAGCUAGGCAUCUUGCAAUGUUCAUGCUUCUUCGCUGUAGUGUUUUCCAGCAUUGCACAUGGACAAGCAUCUGGACUUCAGGGCAAGUCCAAAAAUAGACGUUGCAACAAACAUAGCUCUGGAAUAAAAACACCUGAAAAUAUCUCAGAAGAGCUGGCUAUAUGUUUUGGCAACAGAGUCACUGUGGCACUAUGGAUCAAACACAUCCGGAUUUACUUUUAUGCCUCUGAGAAUCUGAGAACUGCAGCAUUACAUCUCAGCCAUCCCAAACUGUUGUAGAAGCAGCUAAAAGGAGAGUUUCAGAAGAAAAAGGGCAAAUCUUGCUUCUGUUUGAAAUCAUAUCCUUACAAUUUAAUGGUACUGGAAGAAAUUCAAGCAACAUAUUAUAAAUGAAUGCACAUGAAUAAUGACCUUUAAAUAAAAGAACUAGAUGUCUUGUGAUUGUUGUUGUACAAGAAAUAUGAAGAUCACAGAGAAAUGUUAGCUA
This is a long non-coding RNA of Tympanuchus pallidicinctus (lesser prairie-chicken), 788 nucleotides long. RefSeq lists it as uncharacterized. Lineage: Eukaryota; Metazoa; Chordata; Aves; Galliformes; Phasianidae. The record is from RefSeq and is a predicted model, not a curated record. The transcript has 5 exons.